This 301-nucleotide long non-coding RNA is filed under the name Lathyrus oleraceus (garden pea). Its description in RNAcentral is "Pisum sativum (pea) long non-coding RNA (PSAT_LNC011070)". The record is from RNAcentral. Lineage: Eukaryota; Viridiplantae; Streptophyta; Magnoliopsida; Fabales; Fabaceae.
UUGUGUGUACAGAGUGAUGAGAAAUUGUUGGACGAAUCCGGGAUCGAUGGUAGUGGAUGAAAGACACCCCUCAUACUUGUUCUGAUAAGGUACCCCGGAAGUUGAUGCAACCAUGAGAAAGUAAAGUCGGAAAUGGUAGUGGAUGAAAGACACCCCUCAUACUUGUUCUGAUAAGGUACCCCGGAAGUUGAUGCAACCAUGAGAAAGUAAAGUCGGACACAAUUUGGUGACACUGGACCAAGAGAGCGGUAUGGUAGAACCGAAUCGGAAAAGAAACCACAUGACACUAGGAGGCUUCAGA